RNAcentral lists this ribosomal RNA (1332 nucleotides) under uncultured bacterium. RNAcentral describes it as "bacterial SSU rRNA". It matches the Rfam family "Bacterial small subunit ribosomal RNA", at positions 28 to 1381 of the family's 1533-position model. The record is from RNAcentral.
AACGAACGCUGGCGGCGUGGAUAAGACAUGCAAGUCGAACGAGAGAAUUGCUAGCUUGCUAAUAAUUCUCUAGUGGCGCACGGGUGAGUAACACGUGAGUAACCCGCCCCCGAGAGCGGGAUAGCCCUGGGAAACUGGGAUUAAUACCGCAUAGUAUCGAAAGAUUAAAGCAGCAAUGCGCUUGGGGAUGGGCUCGCGGCCUAUUAGUUAGUUGGUGAGGUAACGGCUCACCAAGGCGAUGACGGGUAGCCGGUCUGAGAGGAUGUCCGGCCACACUGGAACUGAGACACGGUCCAGACACCUACGGGUGGCAGCAGUCGAGAAUCAUUCACAAUGGGGGAAACCCUGAUGGUGUGACGCCGCGUGGGGGAAUGAAGGUCUUCGGAUUGUAAACCCCUGUCAUGUGGGAGCAAAUUAAAAAGAUAGUACCACAAGAGGAAGAGACGGCUAACUCUGUGCCAGCAGCCGCGGUAAUACAGAGGUCUCAAGCGUUGUUCGGAAUCACUGGGCGUAAAGCGUGCGUAGGCUGUUUCGUAAGUCGUGUGUGAAAGGCGCGGGCUCAACCCGCGGACGGCACAUGAUACUGCGAGACUAGAGUAAUGGAGGGGGAACCGGAAUUCUCGGUGUAGCAGUGAAAUGCGUAGAUAUCGAGAGGAACACUCGUGGCGAAGGCGGGUUCCUGGACAUUAACUGACGCUGAGGCACGAAGGCCAGGGGAGCGAAAGGGAUUAGAUACCCCUGUAGUCCUGGCAGUAAACGGUGCACGCUUGGUGUGCGGGGAAUCGACCCCCUGCGUGCCGGAGCUAACGCGUUAAGCGUGCCGCCUGGGGAGUACGGUCGCAAGAUUAAAACUCAAAGAAAUUGACGGGGACCCGCACAAGCGGUGGAGUAUGUGGCUUAAUUCGAUGCAACGCGAAGAACCUUACCUGGGCUUGACAUGUAAUGAACAACAUGUGAAAGCAUGCGACUCUUCGGAGGCGUUACACAGGUGCUGCAUGGCCGUCGUCAGCUCGUGUCGUGAGAUGUUUGGUUAAGUCCAGCAACGAGCGCAACCCCUGUUGCCAGCUACCAGCACGUGAAGGUGGGGACUCUGGCGAGACUGCCCAGAUCAACUGGGAGGAAGGUGGGGACGACGUCAGGUCAGUAUGGCCCUUAUGCCCAGGGCUGCACACGUACUACAAUGCCCAGUACAGAGGGGGCCGAAGCCGCGAGGCGGAGGAAAUCCUGAAAACUGGGCCCAGUUCGGACUGUAGGCUGCAACCCGCCUACACGAAGCCGGAAUCGCUAGUAAUGGCGCAUCAGCUACGGCGCCGUGAAUACGUUCCCGGGUCU